GACGAACGCUGGCGGCGUGCUUAAUACAUGCAAGUCGAACGGAAAGGCCCUGCUUUUUUUGGGUGCUCGUGUGGCCAACGCGUUAUUAACACGUUAGUAACCUGCCCUUUACUUUGGGAUUACUUCAGGAAACUGUCGCUAAUACCGGAUAGGAGCUCCUCCUGCAUGUUGGGGGUUGGAAAGUUUCGGCGGUUGGGGAUGGACUCGCGGCUUAUCAGCUUGUUGGUGGGGUAGUGGCUUACCAAGGCUUUGACGGGUAGCAGGCCUGAGAGGGUGACCGGCGACAUUGGGACUGAGAUACGGCCCAGACUGCUAGGGGAGGCAGAAGUGGGGAAUAUGGCAAAAUGGGGGGAAGCCUGAUGCAGGAACGCCGGGUGCGGGAUGACGGGCUUCGGGUUGUAAACCGCUUUCGAAUGUGACGAAGAGUGAGUGACGGUAAUGGGUAAAGAAGCACCGGCUAACUACGUG
This 468-nucleotide ribosomal RNA is filed under the name uncultured bacterium. Its description in RNAcentral is "partial 16S ribosomal RNA". It matches the Rfam family "Bacterial small subunit ribosomal RNA", at positions 28 to 507 of the family's 1533-position model. The record is from RNAcentral.